Molecule: ribosomal RNA, 245 nt
Filed under: uncultured Tissierella sp.
Lineage: Bacteria; Bacillati; Bacillota; Tissierellia; Tissierellales; Tissierellaceae
Description: partial 16S ribosomal RNA
Rfam family: Bacterial small subunit ribosomal RNA
Source: RNAcentral
CACGCCGUAAACGAUGAGUGCUAGGUGUCGGGGGUCAAACCUCGGUGCCGGAGCUAACGCAUUAAGCACUCCGCCUGGGGAGUACGUACGCAAGUAUGAAACUCAAAGGAAUUGACGGGGACCCGCACAAGCAGCGGAGCAUGUGGUUUAAUUCGAAGCAACGCGAAGAACCUUACCAGGUCUUGACAUGGUAUUGACCGGUCUAGAGAUAGAUUUUUCCCUUCGGGGACAAUACACACAGGUGG